CAAAGGAGUGCUUCCCCACCUUUCCUUUCUUCUCCUCCUCAGCAGGACCUGCUAAGGUGAGGUGUUCUGGAAGGGUCUCUGCUCCUAGCAGUCACUGGCAGCUUGCCCAAAUUGGAGAAGUUUAACAUCUCUUUUCUCUGAGAAGUAAAAUGUGUUUCUUUGGUGGAUGUGAAACCAACAAACCACUGUGGUGCCUCUCUACAUCUGAAGGAUGAGCCAGCCAAGCCAGGGGAACUGACGACCCCACACACGUCUGCACUGCUGUGGCCGUGUUGAACACGGACUCCUUCUUCAGGGCAGCCUUGGGCCAUCGGAGGGCUGCUGUAUGCAGUGACGGCCACCAAGUGUCCUUGGCCAGGGGAGUGAUUUACAGGGACUGAGAUCCUGACUUGUGACCCAGACACGAAUGCAUCCUUGUUCCAUUUUGUUAUUGCUCAACCGUCAUCUGGCCAUCCCCAAAGCCCACCUCUGUGAGAAAGGCCAGUGCUUGUCCUCGUGACACCCCUGAGACCUCGAUGGAGCAAGUCCCAGGGCCCAUCAUACAUUUUUAAAGAAAAUCUUCUUUUGGUGAGAAGAUCAAAGGGCCAGGCAGAAAUGGAAAAGCACUUUCUGGCAUCAGACUUCCUCUGACUUCUCCGGUUGCCACACCACUGAAAGACUGCCCCACAGUGCGAGGGACGUCCACAUCUGCCUGGCUCUCCGAGGGAUGAACAGCCUUCAGUUCAGCUUCCUGUCACACCCCAAAAUCCACCAGGGCUCUGCAGUCAUAGAGCCCUGGAACCCAGAGGUGGAAACUUAAAGGAAUGAGUGCUCUCUCGCUCCAAAACCACAGAUAUCUGGUCCAUAGAGAACCCACCACACUUGUAUACAUUUUCAUACGUCUGCGCACAUACACAAAUGCAC
This 903-nucleotide long non-coding RNA is filed under the name Homo sapiens (human). RNAcentral's name for it is "HSALNT0049224". The record is from RNAcentral. Lineage: Eukaryota; Metazoa; Chordata; Mammalia; Primates; Hominidae.